ACGCUGGCGGCGUGCCUAACACAUGCAAGUCGAACGGGGAUUUGUUUCGGCAGAAUCCUAGUGGCGAACGGGUGAGUAACGCGUAGGCAACCUGCCCUCCGGCCGGGGACAACACUCCGAAAGGGGUGCUAAUACCGGAUACGAAGUCUGUGCCGCAUGGUACGGAUUUGAAAGAUGGCCUCUAUUUAUAAGCUAUCGCCGGGGAUGGGCCUGCGUCCGAUUAGCUGGUUGGUGGGUAACGGCCUACCAAGGCGACGAUCGGUAGCCGGUCUGAGAGGAUGAACGGCCACAUUGGGACUGAGACACGGCCCAGACUCCUACGGGAGGCAGCAGUGGGGAAUCUUCCGCAAUGGGCGCAAGCCUGACGGAGCAACGCCGCGUAGAGUGAGGAAGUUCUUCGGAACGUAAAGUUCUGUUGUUCCUGACGAACCUCCCCUCUAUCAACAACGGAGGGGACUGACGGUAGGGAACGAGGAAGCCACGGCUAACUACGUGCCAGCCGCAGC
RNAcentral lists this ribosomal RNA (506 nucleotides) under uncultured bacterium. RNAcentral's name for it is "bacterial SSU rRNA". It matches the Rfam family "Bacterial small subunit ribosomal RNA", at positions 33 to 518 of the family's 1533-position model. The record is from RNAcentral.